CCAAGGAGUCUAACAUGUGCGCAAGUCAUUGGGUCUUGAUUAGGCCCAAAGGCGUAAUGAAAGUGAAGGCCGGUUCGGCUGGCUGCCUUGGGAUCCCGCGUUCCUUGUGGAUGUGGGCGCACCAAGGGCCCGUCCCGAUCGCCUCGUCGACGGGGCGGAGCAAGAGCGUACACGUUGGGACCCGAAAGAUGGUGAACUAUGCCUGGGCAGAACGAAGCCAGAGGAAACUCUGGUGGAGGUUCGCAGCGAUUCUGACGUGCAAAUCGAUCGUCAGACCUGGGUAUAGGGGCGAAAGACUAAUCGAACCAUCUA
RNAcentral lists this ribosomal RNA (312 nucleotides) under Hadrobunus maculosus. RNAcentral's name for it is "eukaryotic LSU rRNA". It matches the Rfam family "Eukaryotic large subunit ribosomal RNA", at positions 666 to 946 of the family's 3401-position model. RNAcentral also lists the same sequence under 1 other name. Lineage: Eukaryota; Metazoa; Arthropoda; Arachnida; Opiliones; Sclerosomatidae. The record is from RNAcentral.